AGAUAUGGAUGCCAGUAAAACUCUCAUUGCUUUGAAAUGGAGCUUCAAAUAAGGGAUAAGGGAAACCUGAGAAGAUUUUAUUCAAAGGAAGAGGCUUCAGAUGUGAAUCAAGUAGAAAAGCCGGAGGAAUUGGUCAAUUCAAAUCCAGUCUCAUCUACAAGCUGUUGAUAUGAAGAGGAGAAUUAGAAUGGAUGAAAGAAUAGAGCUGUGAACUUGUUUGCAAUGGGACGAGGAGAAGAAAAUGGAUACAUUGAGCCUGAAAAGGAAUAGAUAACCAUAGGAUCACACAACUGGAAAUGUGCUGAAGGUCAUCUAUUUUAAGCCAUGCCCUACUGUGCAGAAAUCAGGAUUCUCUGUCCAUAGAAAUAACAGAUUCAUUUGGGGGGGGUGUGUGUUAGUUUUUAAUGAUCUGAUGGUUAUUUAAUCCUCUGCGCAGGAUGAGUAAUGGGAUCUAGGGUUGGUAAAAGUAAUUCACCACAUUGGGAUGACAGCAGGAGGAGAGCUGGUCUUGUGGUAGCGAGCAUGAAUUGUCCUCUUUGAUAAGCAGGGUCUGUCUUGGUUCGCAUUUGUAUGGGUGACUACAUGUGAGCACGGACCACUGUAAGAGCACUGUCCUCAUCCCUUAGGGGAUGGGGCCAUAGCUCAGUGGCUUAGCAUCAAUUUGCAUGCAGAAGGUCCCAGGUUUAAUCCAUUAUCUCCAGGUAGGACUGGGAGAGACUCCUGCCUGAAACCUCGAAGAGCUGCUUCCAGUCAAUGUAGACAAUACUGAGUUAGAUGGACCAAUGGUCUGACUUGGUAUAAGGAAGCUCCCCAUGUUCCUAUGGGAGCAGUACUUAUUAGAAAGCAUUUAUGGUGUUCUGUCUACUUAUUCUCCACAAAUGGCAUAAAAACAUUCUACACUUCCUUAUGGAUAGUUGUUGAAGUAGAUGAGAAGCUGUCUUUCUGGGUUAGUGUUAUAGUCUAGAUUGCAUUGACACUCAGGAGAACUCAGUGGUAUGGCUUGAGAAUAUCACCAUGUUGUCUGCAGCUCCAUCCAGGCAGCUCCAUCCAGAUAUUUCCAGUAAGGAAAGCAUUCUUUGAGUUUCUGUGCAAGUGAAGUUCUUCAUUCUCAUCUUCUUUUUGCUCUGGAGGCCAUUUGCUAAAGUUCCAAAGAACCAAAGUUAGUAUGGUAAACAACGAUACCUUCUCCCUUCUCCUCUUUCCCCCUGAUUCUGUUCAACACACACACACACACACACACACACACACACACACACACACACACACAAUAUUAUUAGGCAUUUGGUCCCUUUGCGUUUAUCAGAGAGCACAGUGUCCUUGUUAAAAUAACACUGUGCAGUAGAACAGAAAAUAAGAUGUCACGGCAAGCUAAACUCCUUCACUUUCGAAACAUACUAAGCAGCCCUCUGGUGAGGGCUGAAGGCAGCAGACUCAGCAAUCUCUUUGGGAUUAUUUAUUUAGUUUGCUUGCAUUUAUAUUGUGUCACAGGGGCCAGUGGAACCCUGACGUGGACACUGCUCAGGUGAGAAGAUCCAGCCCCUUGUGGUUAGAAUGUUAUUCCCCAUCAGGGCAAACAUGAGGUGUUGACUGGAAUCUAGUCUCUUCACACCAGAACACAUUGGGUUUUGCUCUGAAUGUCCCUAUUGUGCUUGCCAUAACAUCUUAUUUUCUGUCUCACUGCACAGUGUUAUUUUAAUCUGCACUCUGAUAAACUUUGAAGAUCACUCCAGUGGGCUUCACUGUAUGAAACUCUGGCCAUUCUGACUUUAUUUAUUGGUUCAUUUUAUUUUGCUUUAUUUCCCUGCCAUGUUUAGUAUGACUGAGUGGCCAAUUCAAUAAAAAAUGGAAAACUCGUGCAUUCUGUACAAUAAAGUGGAGCAGGUUACCGAA
Hemicordylus capensis (graceful crag lizard) is the source of this 1890-nucleotide long non-coding RNA. RefSeq lists it as uncharacterized. The transcript is spliced from 2 exons. The record is from RefSeq and is a predicted model, not a curated record. Lineage: Eukaryota; Metazoa; Chordata; Lepidosauria; Squamata; Cordylidae.